UACGAAGGGGGCUAGCGUUGUUCGGACUCACAGGGCGUAAAGCGCACGCAGGCGGAUCGAUAAGUCGGGGGUGAAAGCCCGGGGCUCAACCUCGGAAUUGCCUUCGAUACUGUCGGUCUCGAGUCCGGGAGAGGUGAGUGGAAUUCCUAGUGUAGAGGUGAAAUUCGUAGAUAAUAGGAAGAACACCAGUGGCGAAGGCGGCUCACUGGCCCGGUACUGACGCUCAGGUGCGAAAGCGUGGGGAGCAAACAGG
This 253-nucleotide ribosomal RNA is filed under the name uncultured bacterium. RNAcentral's name for it is "partial 16S ribosomal RNA". It matches the Rfam family "Bacterial small subunit ribosomal RNA", at positions 524 to 776 of the family's 1533-position model. The record is from RNAcentral.